GACGAACGCUGGCGGCGUGCCUAAUACAUGCAAGUAGAACGCUGAAGGAGGAGCUUGCUUCUCUGGAUGAGUUGCGAACGGGUGAGUAACGCGUAGGUAACCUGCCUGGUAGCGGGGGAUAACUAUUGGAAACGAUAGCUAAUACCGCAUAAUAGUAGAUGUUGCAUGACAUUUGCUUAAAAGGUGCAAUUGCAUCACUACCAGAUGGACCUGCGUUGUAUUAGCUAGUUGGUGAGGUAACGGCUCACCAAGGCAACGAUACAUAGCCGACCUGAGAGGGUGAUCGGCCACACUGGGACUGAGGCACGGCCCAGACUCCUACGGGAGGCAGCAGUAGGGAAUCUUCGGCAAUGGACGGAAGUCUGACCGAGCAACGCCGCGUGAGUGAAGAAGGUUUUCGGAUCGUAAAGCUCUGUUGUAAGAGAAGAACGAGUGUGAGAGUGGAAAGUUCACACUGUGACGGUAUCUUACCAGAAAGGGACGGCUAACUACGUG
This 495-nucleotide ribosomal RNA is filed under the name uncultured bacterium. RNAcentral's name for it is "partial 16S ribosomal RNA". It matches the Rfam family "Bacterial small subunit ribosomal RNA", at positions 28 to 507 of the family's 1533-position model. The record is from RNAcentral.